GACGAACGCUGGCGGCGUGCCUAAUACAUGCAAGUAGAACGCUGAAGGAGGAGCUUGCUUCUCUGGAUGAGUUGCGAACGGGUGAGUAACGCGUAGGUAACCUGCCUGGUAGCGGGGGAUAACUAUUGGAAAUGAUAGCUAAUACCGCAUAAGAGUAGAUGUUGCAUGACAUUUGCUUAAAAGGUGCAAUUGCAUCACUACCAGAUGGACCUGCGUUGUAUUAGCUAGUUGGUGGGGUAACGGCUCACCAAGGCGACGAUACAUAGCCGACCUGAGAGGGUGAUCGGCCACACUGGGACUGAGACACGGCCCAGACUCCUACGGGAGGCAGCAGUAGGGAAUCUUCGGCAAUGGACGGAAGUCUGACCGAGCAACGCCGCGUGAGUGAAGAAGGUUUUCGGAUCGUAAAGCUCUGUUGUAAGAGAAGAAACGAGUGUGAGAAGUGGAAAG
Molecule: ribosomal RNA, 450 nt
Filed under: Streptococcus mitis
Lineage: Bacteria; Bacillati; Bacillota; Bacilli; Lactobacillales; Streptococcaceae
Description: bacterial SSU rRNA
Rfam family: Bacterial small subunit ribosomal RNA
Source: RNAcentral